UACAGAGGGUGCAAGCGUUGUUCGGAAUUACUGGGCUUAAAGCGCAUGUAGGCGGGAGCGUAAGUGCCUUGUGAAAUCCCUCGGCUCAACCGAGGCAUGGCUCGGUAUACUGCGUUCCUUGAGGCAGGUAAGGGUGCGUGGAACUCUAGGUGGAGCGGUGAAAUGCGUAGAUAUCUAGAGGAACGCCAGUGGUGAAAACGGCGCACUGGGCCUGUCCUGACGCUGAGGUGCGAAAGCGUGGGUAGCGAACGGGAUUAGAUACCCCGGUAGUCCACGCCGUAAACGAUGUCUACUAGAUCGCGGUGACUCUGACGUUGGCGCGGUCGAAGCAAAAGUGAUAAGUAGACCGCCUGGGGAGUACGGUCGCAAGGCUAAA
RNAcentral lists this ribosomal RNA (376 nucleotides) under uncultured bacterium. Its description in RNAcentral is "bacterial SSU rRNA". It matches the Rfam family "Bacterial small subunit ribosomal RNA", at positions 524 to 898 of the family's 1533-position model. The record is from RNAcentral.